CUGGUUCUGCGCUUAUAUUUGAUGGUAUAAAGUAGAGAAACAUUGCUUGGAGAUACACAUGCGCCAUUUUAAGCAGCUCCCCGCCCGUGCAGCACCGUGAGCAGCCUCCUCUGAAGAAGGAAAACAACACACUUUUGACGGUCACAUUUUGCCAUAUUUUUUAACGCCAUGGCUAAAGCGAAGUCAUCUGCCACCACCGAGAGACGAAUUUCCCCGCGUCUUGCAGCGAAACCCAAACCGCCUACCAUGGUGGCCACCAAGAAAGCGGCGGCCAAGAAGACGCCCAAAGAGAAGAAGAGCAAGGCGGCGGAGAACGGCAAGACCAAGACUGAGGAGCCAAAGGCCGAAGCCGCCGAAUCCAAAUGAGCCAACUUUGGCGUACGCCCCCCGCCCCCUCCCCGUGUACUUGGUGAUUGUACAGUUUGAAAUAAGUAUUUUUUACCAAGUUUUAUAUUACAAAUGUCAUUUAUAGGUUUGUCUCGCACUUGAUGUAACGAAUUAUGUGUUCUCACAUCCACAUCUAUUUUCACACCGCCGUCCGUUACUUGUAGUCAACCCAACCCCCCUUUGUAUUUCCCCUCUUAAUGCGUCUUUCAUUUUUUUCCAACUGCUGAAUAUUCGAUAUUUUUGCCACAUGUUGGAUUUUUAAGUCAAUUUUGUAACAUUAUGAGGCAGCUAAAGCAUUAUUUAAAGGAAGGAAAACCAAGGUCUCUGUUUUCAUGCUAAAGUACGAAAGUCUUUGGAACGCAACAAGAUCAUGGUCUGCUUUUUAUUUAAUGCCAGCAGAAGGAAAAAAAGAUCUUGCGAAAAAACCCAAAAAGCAUGUAUUUUGUGAACUCAAUCAUCCUAAUAAGCUAUGUUCAUGUUUCUGACUCCAGUGGUUCAUCUAAAUGUUACUGAAUAAACGUUUUUUCAAAGUCA
Dunckerocampus dactyliophorus (ringed pipefish) is the source of this 921-nucleotide long non-coding RNA. RefSeq lists it as uncharacterized. The record is from RefSeq and is a predicted model, not a curated record. NCBI's taxonomy places the organism in Eukaryota, Metazoa, Chordata, Actinopteri, Syngnathiformes, Syngnathidae. The transcript has 6 exons.